UACAGAGGGUGCAAGCGUUAAUCGGAAUUACUGGGCGUAAAGCGUGCGCAGGCGGUGAUGUAAGACAGGUGUGAAAUCCCCGGGCUUAACCUGGGAACUGCAUUUGUGACUGGCGAGCUAGAGUACGGAAGAGGCGAGUGGAAUUCCUGGUGUAGCGGUGAAUGCGCAGAUAUCAGGAGGAACACCAAUGGCGAAGGCAGCUCGCUGGGACGGUACUGACACUGAGGCGCGAAAGCGUGGGGAGC
This 245-nucleotide ribosomal RNA is filed under the name uncultured bacterium. Its description in RNAcentral is "partial 16S ribosomal RNA". It matches the Rfam family "Bacterial small subunit ribosomal RNA", at positions 524 to 769 of the family's 1533-position model. The record is from RNAcentral.